This 468-nucleotide ribosomal RNA is filed under the name uncultured bacterium. RNAcentral's name for it is "partial 16S ribosomal RNA". It matches the Rfam family "Bacterial small subunit ribosomal RNA", at positions 28 to 507 of the family's 1533-position model. The record is from RNAcentral.
GACGAACGCUGGCGGCGUGCUUAACACAUGCAAGUCGAACGGAAAGGCCCUGCUUUUGUGGUGUGCUCGAGUGGCGAAAGGGUGAGUAACACGAGAGUAACCUGCCCUUGACUUUGGGAUAACUUCAGGAAACUGGGGCUAAUACCGGAUAGGAGCUCCUGUUGCAUGGAGGGGGUUGGAAAGUUUCGGCGGUUGGGGAUGGACUCGCGGCUUAUCAGCUUGUUGGUUGGGUAGGGGCUUACCAAGGCUGUGACGGGUAGCCGGCAUGGGAGGGGGACCGGCGACAUUAGGGCUGAGAGACGGACCAGACUCCUACGUGAGGCAACGGUCGUAAGUAUUACACAGUGGUCCGAAGUGUGAUGCAACAGCUUCCCGUGCGGGAAGUCGGCCUUCGGGUUGUAAACCGCAUUCGGCUGUGACGAAGCGUGAUUGACGGUAAUGGAUAAAGAAGCACCGGCUAACUACGUG